UGGGGGAUAUUGCACAAUGGGGGAAACCCUGAUGCAGCGACGCCGCGUGGGUGAAGAAGCGCCUCGGCGCGUAAAGCCCUGUCAGCAGGGAAAGAAAAUGACGGUACCUGAAGAAGAAGCCCCGGCUAACUACGUGCC
RNAcentral lists this ribosomal RNA (138 nucleotides) under uncultured bacterium. Its description in RNAcentral is "partial 16S ribosomal RNA". It matches the Rfam family "Bacterial small subunit ribosomal RNA", at positions 355 to 509 of the family's 1533-position model. The record is from RNAcentral.